GUCUUCUCAGAAUUGCACCUGGAGGGUUUCCAGUACUCUACCAGUCACAGCUAAGGGAGGGAGAGUCAAGCAGAGACCUACCCAUUCCUUUACUAGCUUGGCCAGUGGCUAGCAAGUAGAAGGCAAUCUGCUACAAGU
This 138-nucleotide small nucleolar RNA is filed under the name Ornithorhynchus anatinus (platypus). The record is from RNAcentral. Lineage: Eukaryota; Metazoa; Chordata; Mammalia; Monotremata; Ornithorhynchidae.